RNAcentral lists this ribosomal RNA (253 nucleotides) under uncultured bacterium. Its description in RNAcentral is "partial 16S ribosomal RNA". It matches the Rfam family "Bacterial small subunit ribosomal RNA", at positions 524 to 776 of the family's 1533-position model. The record is from RNAcentral.
UACGUAGGGUGCGAGCGUUAAUCGGAAUUACUGGGCGUAAAGUGUGCGCAGGCGGCCGAGCAAGUCGAGUGUGAAAGCCCCGAGCUUAACUUGGGAACUGCGCUCGAAACUACUUGGCUAGAGUGUGGCAGAGGGAGGUGGAAUUCCACGUGUAGCGGUGAAAUGCGUAGAGAUGUGGAGGAAUACCGAUGGCGAAGGCAGCCCCCUGGGAUAACACUGACGCUCAUGCACGAAAGCGUGGGGAGCAAACAGG